RNAcentral lists this signal recognition particle RNA (297 nucleotides) under Oncorhynchus kisutch (coho salmon). RNAcentral describes it as "Metazoan signal recognition particle RNA (ENSOKIG00005022663.1)". It matches the Rfam family "Metazoan signal recognition particle RNA". Rfam says of the family: The signal recognition particle (SRP) is a universally conserved ribonucleoprotein. It is involved in the co-translational targeting of proteins to membranes. Lineage: Eukaryota; Metazoa; Chordata; Actinopteri; Salmoniformes; Salmonidae. The record is from Rfam by way of RNAcentral.
GCCGGGUGCGGUGGCAUGUGCCUGUAAUCCAAGUCCACUGGGAGGCUGAGGUUGAGUGGAUCAAGUGAGCUGAGGAGCUCUGUGCUGCAGCACACUAUGUGGAACGGUGUCCACGCUAAGUUCGGUAUCGAUAUGGUGUUUCCUGGGGGCCCGGACCACCAGGUUGUCUAAGGAGUGGGUGAACUCGGCCCAGGUCGGAAACGAGCAGGUCAAUCCCCGUGCUGUCCAGUAGUGGGAUAUACUGUGAGUAGAUUGCUGCAGUGACAGCCUUGGCGAAACAUCGAAGACCUAUCUUUC